AGCGGACCGGACAGUCGCGUGCUGUUUAUCAGCAUGAGGAAAGUCCGAGCUCCAUAGGGCGGGAUAACGGCUAACGGCCGCCGGGGGCGACCCCAGGGAAAGUGCAACAGAGAUAUACCGCCGCAUUUUGCGGUAAGGGUGGAAAGGCGAGGUAAGAGCUCACCGGCAUACAGGAGACUGUAUGGCCCUGCAAACCCUAUCCGGUGCAACGCCAGCCGAAGCGAUACAUUGGCCCGAUGUGCUUCAAAAGGCGGCUUGAGCUAUGUGGCAACACAUGGUCGAGAUAGAUGACUGUCCAAGACAGAACUCGGCUUACAGGUCCGCUCAU
Molecule: RNase P RNA, 328 nt
Filed under: human gut metagenome
Description: Bacterial RNase P class A
Rfam family: Bacterial RNase P class A
About the family: Ribonuclease P (RNase P) is a ubiquitous endoribonuclease, found in archaea, bacteria and eukarya as well as chloroplasts and mitochondria. Its best characterised activity is the generation of mature 5'-ends of tRNAs by cleaving the 5'-leader elements of precursor-tRNAs.
Source: RNAcentral